RNAcentral lists this transfer RNA (78 nucleotides) under Bacteroidetes bacterium MED-G17. RNAcentral's name for it is "tRNA-Val(tac)". It matches the Rfam family "tRNA". Rfam says of the family: Transfer RNA (tRNA) molecules are approximately 80 nucleotides in length. The record is from RNAcentral. Lineage: Bacteria; Pseudomonadati; Bacteroidota.
GGGCGAUUAGCUCAGUUGGGUUAGAGCACCUGCCUUACAAGCAGGGGAUCGUUGGUUCGAAUCCAACAUCGCCCACCA